GAUGAACGCUGGCGGCGUGCCUAAUACAUGCAAGUCGAGCGAACGGACGAGAAGCUUGCUUCUCUGAUGUUAGCGGCGGACGGGUGAGUAACACGUGGAUAACCUACCUAUAAGACUGGGAUAACUUCGUGAAACCGGAGCUAAUACCGGAUGAUAUUUUGAACCGCAUGGUUCAAAAGUGAAAGACGGUCUUGCUGUCACUUAUAGAUGGAUCCGCGCUGCAUUAGCUAGUUGGUAAGGUAACGGCUUACCAAGGCAACGAUGCAUAGCCGACCUGAGAGGGUGAUCGGCCACACUGGAAAUGAGACACGGUCCAGACUCCUACGGGAGGCAGCAGUAGGGAAUCUUCCGCAAUGGGCGAAAGCCUGACGGAGCAACGCCGCGUGAGGGAUGAAGGUCUUCGGAUCGUAAAACUCUGUUAUUAGGGAAGAACAUAUGUGUAAGUAACUGUGCACAUCUUGACGGUACCUAAUCAGAAAGCCACGGCUAACUACGUG
RNAcentral lists this ribosomal RNA (497 nucleotides) under uncultured bacterium. RNAcentral's name for it is "partial 16S ribosomal RNA". It matches the Rfam family "Bacterial small subunit ribosomal RNA", at positions 28 to 507 of the family's 1533-position model. The record is from RNAcentral.